Molecule: long non-coding RNA, 906 nt
Filed under: Fukomys damarensis (Damara mole-rat)
Lineage: Eukaryota; Metazoa; Chordata; Mammalia; Rodentia; Bathyergidae
Description: lncRNA (ENSFDAG00000031700.1)
Source: RNAcentral
GUACCAUGUCCUCAUUGGCCAGUGCCAACUUUCCCACCUUGCCAGCCAUACUGAAGCAGACAAACACGAACUGGUACCAGUCUUCUAGAUGACAACCCGUCUAUAUGGUAGUUUCUACAGACACGUGGCAAGGGAGAAAAAGAACCUGCCUCUUCAUAAUGACCCGAAGACUCCACCCAAGAAGAGGGAGAAUAAGAAACCAGAUGGUUGCUAUCACUUUGGAGAGCCGCAACAGUUGUAAAAGAACUGCCAUAAGCUGGGCCCUUUUCCACCUUGGAUGUACCCUGACUGUAAACACUGGGAAGACACUAGAAAUUAAACUGCCCUCUCCUCUGAAGUGGGGAGAGUCCCUUUGCUCCCAUGCUGACUGCCUUAGAGAAUUGAAGGUACUCAAAGUCCCUCUCAACAAAGUGGACAUCACCCUGGGUAAGCCUCAGGUGAUUAUUGAUGUGGAGACUGGAUAAAGAUACGUGUGUGUGUGUGUCUGUGUGUGUGUGUGUGUCUGUGUGUGUGUUUUAAAUAAAAUGGAAUGCUACUCAGCCAUAAAGAAUGAGAAACUAGAGAGAUUUAUAGCUAAGUGGAUGCACAUUGAGGCCAUAUGCUUAAGUGAAAUUAAUAAGUCACACAUGUGUAAAUACCGAAUAGUUUCUCUGGUGUGAAAAAGUUAAAGUGUAAAUAAGGAUUAAAAUAUAUAAUUGACAUUGUGUAAUAGGAAGAAAACUCUAAAAGAGUAGAGGAAGUGGGAGGGGGAGGGGAAAGGGAAAAAGGGCAAAGAAAAAAUAUGUGAAAAGGAAAAACAUGGAAACAAUGUUUUUGUAAACAGGGAAGGGUGGAGGGGCUGAAGGAGGACUGGGGAAUGGGGAAAAAUAAGAACCUGAUAAGUCAUGUAUAGGUACAAGAUCCCGG